This 218-nucleotide long non-coding RNA is filed under the name Mytilus galloprovincialis (Mediterranean mussel). The record is from RNAcentral. Lineage: Eukaryota; Metazoa; Mollusca; Bivalvia; Mytilida; Mytilidae.
CAACGGUCUAAUCUAUAUAAACAAAACGAGAAACGAGAAACACGCAUAUAUUACAUAAACAAACGACAACUACUGUACAUCAGAUUCCUGACUUAGGACAGGUGCAAACAUUUGCAGCGGGAUUAAACGUUUUAAUGGAUCCAAACCUUCUCCCUUUUUUGAAACAAUAGCAUAACAUCACAACAAAGAAAAACAUACGAUAAAAUAUCAAUUGGCAG